This 292-nucleotide ribosomal RNA is filed under the name uncultured bacterium. RNAcentral's name for it is "partial 16S ribosomal RNA". It matches the Rfam family "Bacterial small subunit ribosomal RNA", at positions 505 to 796 of the family's 1533-position model. The record is from RNAcentral.
GUGCCAGCCGCCGCGGUAAUACAGAGACUGCAAGCGUUAUUCGGAUUCACUGGGCGUAAAGGGUGCGCAGGCGGCCGAGUGUGUUAGAUGUGAAAUCCCGGGGCUCAACCCCGGAACUGCGUCUAAAACUACUUGGCUAGAGUAUUGGAGAGGGUAUCGGAAUUCACGGUGUAGCAGUGAAAUGCGUAGAUAUCGUGAGGAACACCAGAGGCGAAGGCGGAUACCUGGACAAUUACUGACGCUCAGGCACGAAAGCGUGGGGAGCAAAAGGGAUUAGAAACCCUUGUAGUCC